UGGCGAAGAUCAAACUUGCCUCUAGGAAC
RNAcentral lists this non-coding RNA (29 nucleotides) under Rattus norvegicus (Norway rat). Lineage: Eukaryota; Metazoa; Chordata; Mammalia; Rodentia; Muridae. The record is from RNAcentral.